CACCAGCGCCUCGAGUGGGGAUCGCGAUUAUUGGGCGUAAAGAGCUUGUAGGCGGUUUGUCGCGUCUGCUGUGAAAUUUCGGGGCUCAACCCCGAACUUGCAGUGGGUACGGGCAGACUAGAGUGUGGUAGGGGAGACUGGAAUUCCUGGUGUAGCGGUGAAAUGCGCAGAUAUCAGGAGGAACACCGAUGGCGAAGGCAGGUCUCUGGGCCACUACUGACGCUGAGAAGCGAAAGCAUGGGGAGCGAACAGG
RNAcentral lists this ribosomal RNA (253 nucleotides) under uncultured bacterium. RNAcentral describes it as "partial 16S ribosomal RNA". It matches the Rfam family "Bacterial small subunit ribosomal RNA", at positions 524 to 776 of the family's 1533-position model. The record is from RNAcentral.